UACGAGUGCCCCAAGCGUUAUCCGGAAUCAUUGGGCGUAAAGGGUGUGUAGGUGGUUUUGUUAGUCUCCUGUCAAAUUCUUCGGCUUAACCGGGGGUCCGCAGGGGAAACGGCAAAACUUGAGGAUGCGAGGGGUGAAUGGAACUCAUAGUGGAGGGGUGAAAUCCGUUGAUAUUAUGGGGAACACCAAAAGCGAAGGCAAUUCACUGGCGCACUCCUGACACUGAAACACGAAAGCGUGGGUAGCGAAUGGG
This 253-nucleotide ribosomal RNA is filed under the name uncultured bacterium. Its description in RNAcentral is "partial 16S ribosomal RNA". It matches the Rfam family "Bacterial small subunit ribosomal RNA", at positions 524 to 776 of the family's 1533-position model. The record is from RNAcentral.